RNAcentral lists this ribosomal RNA (1343 nucleotides) under uncultured bacterium. RNAcentral describes it as "16S ribosomal RNA". It matches the Rfam family "Bacterial small subunit ribosomal RNA", at positions 28 to 1378 of the family's 1533-position model. The record is from RNAcentral.
GACGAACGCUGGCGGCGUGCUUAACACAUGCAAGUCGAACGGAAAGGCCCUGCUUUUGUGGGGUGCUCGAGUGGCGAACGGGUGAGUAACACGUGAGUAACCUGCCCUUGACUUUGGGAUAACUUCAGGAAACUGGGGCUAAUACCGGAUAGGAGCUCCUGCUGCAUGGUGGGGGUUGGAAAGUUUCGGCGGUUGGGGAUGGACUCGCGGCUUAUCAGCUUGUUGGUGGGGUAGUGGCUUACCAAGGCUUUGACGGGUAGCCGGCCUGAGAGGGUGACUGGCCACAUUGGGACUGAGAUACGGCCCAGACUCCUACGGGAGGCAGCAGUGGGGAAUAUUGCACAAUGGGCGGAAGCCUGAUGCAGCAACGCCGCGUGCGGGAUGACGGCCUUCGGGUUGUAAACCGCUUUCGCCUGUGACGAAGCGUGAGUGACGGUAAUGGGUAAAGAAGCACCGGCUAACUACGUGCCAGCAGCCGCGGUGAUACGUAGGGUGCGAGCGUUGUCCGGAUUUAUUGGGCGUAAAGGGCUCGUAGGUGGUUGAUCGCGUCGGAAGUGUAAUCUUGGGGCUUAACCCUGAGCGUGCUUUCGAUACGGGUUGACUUGAGGAAGGUAGGGGAGAAUGGAAUUCCUGGUGGAGCGGUGGAAUGCGCAGAUAUCAGGAGGAACACCAGUGGCGAAGGCGGCUCUCUGGGCCUUUCCUGACGCUGAGGAGCGAAAGCGUGGGGAGCGAACAGGCUUAGAUACCCUGGUAGUCCACGCUGUAAACGGUGGGUACUAGGUGUGGGGUCCAUUCCACGGGUUCCGUGCCGUAGCUAACGCUUUAAGUACCCCGCCUGGGGAGUACGGCCGCAAGGCUAAAACUCAAAGGAAUUGACGGGGCCCCGCACAAGCGGCGGAGCAUGCGGAUUAAUUCGAUGCAACGCGUAGAACCUUACCUGGGUUUGACAUGGAUCGGGAGUGCUCAGAGAUGGGUGUGCCUCUUUUGGGGUCGGUUCACAGGUGGUGCAUGGCUGUCGACAGCUCGUGUCGUGAGAUGUUGGGUUAAGUCCCGCAACGAGCGCAACCCUUGUUCACUGUUGCCAGCACGUUAUGGUGGGGACUCAGUGGAGACCGCCGGGGUCAACUCGGAGGAAGGUGGGGAUGACGUCAAGUCAUCAUGCCCCUUAUGUCCAGGGCUUCACGCAUGCUACAAUGGCUGGUACAGAGAGUGGCGAGCCUGUGAGGGUGAGCGAAUCUCGGAAAGCCGGUCUCAGUUCGGAUUGGGGUCUGCAACUCGACCUCAUGAAGUCGGAGUCGCUAGUAAUCGCAGAUCAGCAACGCUGCGGUGAAUACGUUCCCGGG